AUUCCAAAUGUCACACAAUCACAGAAACUAUCUGCAGUUGGCAAAGCCACGCCUCUGCUAGAGCACGAGGCAAAUCAUAGUCAGCUGCCUCCAGGCAGCCCCACAUCUCCACAUCUGGGAUUAAAACAUUUCUGUGUUUCUUUUUUAAAGAAACCAAAAUUCCAGAAUUCUCACUACACAGACGCAAUAAAAAGUUUUUAGGCUGGGCAUUGUGAGAUCCAAUCAUGUACGCUGUGAUUGGCCUCAUCCUACCCUACAAACUUCCAGCUCAAUUACCAGUUCAUAAACAAGGGCAAACAAGUGAAAACUCAAGUAGUUCCAUAAGUUAGGACUGACAUGUCACAUCAGCCCAAGAGCCUCUGAAACACCAGCUACUUCAGGCCCCAAGAGCCUAAUCUGCCCUAUGGGCUCAGAUUACUAUACAAUGCUCACGGUCACACAAAUUAUCAGUGUUAGCCAUUUGUGAUGGUUUGUAUAUGCUUAGCCCAGGGAGUAGCACUCUUUGGAGGUGUGGCCUUGUCGGAGUGGGUGUGGCCUUGUUGGAGUGGGUGUGGCCUUGUCGGAGUGGGUGUGGCCUUGUUGGAGUAGGUGUGUCACUGAAGCAUGGGGUUUAAUAACCUUGUCCUAGCAGCCAGGAAGCCAGCCUUCUCCUAUUUGCCUUUGGAAUAAGAUGCAGAACCCUCGGCUCCUCUUGCACCAUGCCUGCCUGGAUGCUGCCAUGCUUCCCCCUUGAUGAUAAUAGACUAAACCUUUGAACCUGUAAGUCCACCCCAAUUAAGUAUUGUCUUUGUAAGAAUUGCCUUGGUCAUGAUGUCUGUUCACAGCAGUAAAACCCUAAGACACCACUAACCAUAAAUAAUUAUUACAUUAAAUGCUUACAGGUAUCAGCAGUAUUAUCAUUUAAAAAACUCAAAGUGCCUUUUUGUGCACGUGCCCAAUUUAUUAUCAUUAGUAAGGAAGCGAUGACCUUCAGUUACCAAUAAAUGAAAAUAUCAGUAGCACACCCUUCCAAGCAAGCCAUAAGACUGCAGGAGACCCUGGAUUUGUCACCUUUCAUAUGUGUCCCAGCUCCAAAUUAUCUGUUAACUCAUCAGCUAGAUGUGUCAGUUAGCUUUGCGUUGUUAUAGCAGAUGUCUAAGAUGACAGAAAUCUUUUAAGGUUUACUUGGGCCCACAGAUCUGAGUGUUUCAAUGUCCGACCAAUGUGUUGGGCCUGUGGUAAUGUCAUAUCAUGGUAGGAGCACACAGUGGGUCUACAGAGCUCACCUUGAGGCCAGGACGCAAACAAGAGUGAGGGAGAGCUGGAUCCCAUAAUUCUCAAUGGCCUAAGUGCUGCCCAGUAGGCCCAUAAUUCACAGGUUCCAACAGUUCUCAACGGCACACCACUGGGGACCAAGCCUUUAACACAUGGUCCUCUGGGGACAUUAUAGAACCAAAACACAUGAAUGAAUGAAUGAAUGAAUGAAUGAAUGAAUGAAUGAAAGAUUACUGUCUCCCUGAUUAUCUUUCAUGAGGAAAAAAACUAGCAGUUGCAUGGCACAGUCUGAUGGGGCGGGUGAUCUUCAGUCAUGACCACCAAGCCAUCUAUAAAGUCAGGCAAGAUCGCUGGUUGGCUGCUCCAGGUAUGUAUUAGCGUGUACUAAAUGACCCGAAAGCUAGCUGUAUAAAACCCUUACCAUUUCACUGCCCCUGUGGAUCACGUGUGUCAUCAGGAAUUCAGAAGCAGGACAAUGGAGGUAGCUUUUAACUGCUUUGUAACAUCCGUGGUCUCCGCUGGGUUCACCAGCUACCCUGGAAGCAAAAACACUGGCUUGGAGAAUCCAUUCCCAGGAUGGCCUCUUCAUUUACACACGUGUGUCUGGCACAAGCCUAGAAUGGCCAGGGUGAGCUCUGCCGAGAUUGUCAAGCGGAGGACGUACACAGGCCUUUUACUUUUUAAAAUCUCCCCUAUACUUCUUUUACUCAUUUCUUCUUUGCUUUUCAGGUUAUGUGUGUGCUAAGAAAAUACUCUAUACCAAGCUAUAGCAAUACCCUCUGUUCUUAGCUGAAUUUUUCUCUCUCUCUCUCUCUCUCUCUCUCUCUCUCUCUCUCUCUCUAUCUCCCUCCCUCCCUUCCUCCCUCCCUCCUUUCCUUCCUUCCCUUCCCUUUCCUUUCCUUUUUUUUUUUUUUUUUUUUUUUUGGCAGGGUCAAAAAAACUACAUAGCCCAGGCUGGCCUAGAAUUUGUGGCAAUCCUCUUGCCUCAACCUCCUUUGUGCUAAGAAUAUGGGUGCACACCACCAUGCCCAGGUGACUUUUCACAUGUUUGUUCAAGGAAGGCUCUAAGUGCCAUUAUUCCUGCUGAACAAGGCGGAGUCCAGCCUUUUAUGACAUAGCCUUGGAAGUCACAUGGGGUUACUGUUGCCAUAUGACACCAGUGACGAAGUCACAAACCCCCCACAUACAGGUUAAAGAGAGAGGGACACAGACGUACUUCUUAUCUCUUACCUGAAAGAGUGAUUAUUUUAUGGCACCUUUUAAAACAUUUUGAAUUUGAACUUUAGUUGAUAAACAUGGUUAUUUAUAGAAAACAGACGUCAAUAUCUACAAUUAUAUUUCUAAUUAGCCAGUUUCUGCAUCAGAAGGGGUCAUAGUCCCAAAGCAAUGGAAGGUCUGCAUUGGUGUUGGGUAAAUAUUAAUUUGGAAUAACAACAAAGGAGACAGGUGAUUUUAAAAAGAGUCACCUUUGAAUCGUCAAUUUUACUAAAAUUUAUUAGUUGGGCAAAACAUCAUUUCAUUUUUGCUAAGGGUAUGCAUCAAUCAGAUGCUCAAAAGUUACAUUAAAACAUUUAAGAAUCUAGAAAACAGGAAGCUAUUUAGCUUGUAGACAGUGACUGCCUCAAGUAGCAAACUCAAUCUCCCAGAACGAAGCAGCAGAGGCGCACCGGCAGGCUGGGGCAAGAAAAUGGAAAUAAACAGUGGACAGCUUGUGCCUCUGCGUAAGGCAUUUGGACUCGUUUGGGUUUUUUGGUUUUCCUUUUGUUUUUGUCUUUUUAAGCUACAUUUCUAAAAUCAGUCCUGGGCCCAUAGUUUAUAAUUGUUGACUUGGAUUAGGUAACGGGUCUUUUCUGGAAUCGUUAGUGUUUUCCCUAGUUGUUUUGGCCUAUUUCCAAUCCUCUCUGCUUGCUGCUUUUCCCUCAUUCUGGGGACUGAACUCAGAGCUCUGUAGCUGCUAGACAAGUGCUCCCCUAUUACACUGUACCCUGCCCUGCUCUUCAGCCCUCUCGGAGACUCUACCAUUCACUGUCUAAUUCUGUGGUUAAUAAUAAACACCCGCCAAGAACCUUGUCCAUGCACAACCGCCUUUUGGGGUGGAUAAGGAAACUGAACAUAAGGCAAAUUAAAUUGACGGGUAAAAGAGCCAAAACUGAUAGGCGGCAGAGAAGGAGUUUACAUGUAGACAUGUUUGAUUCAGUGAUAACACGUGCUGCGUAACAUGAUGCUUCCGAUUAAAUGUGACUCCUCCAAGGUGAGGCGGGUCAGAAAGGGCACGCCUUGCUGGGACUUCUUCAGGACAGGAACAGUAGUGUGCCUGAGGCGGGGACUAUGCAGGGGACAGUAUCUUAUCUAGAAAUCCUGGAAUGUUAGGACUGUGUAAGAAACUGUACUGCCGACCCCUGACCCUUGCCCUGGAUACCUGCAGACACCUUGAGUCUUCUGGGGGAUGGGCAGUGCUUGCACAACUAGUCAUGUGACGGAGGACCAUUCACCAGCAAGAUGCUUCUCCACACACUGACAAGAGAAAGCACAAGGACACUGGGCUCCAAACUCGACCACCAUGCCAGGCAGACCCCACGAGAUUUGCUCGUUAAAGAAUCUUCUUUGAAAAGGCUCCCUUUAAAACCUUGCUCUGUUUCCUUGAAGAGAAGACUCAAGAGUCCUCAUACGUCAUGCGUAUGACAGGCAAUUUUUAAUCGUUUAAAUAAUUUAUUCUUCAUUGUUUAAUGCUUUAUACCAUUCCUCCAUGCAUAAUUUAUUAUACCAUUUAUGUUUAUUAAAAAUUGAUCAUGGGGACAUGCUCCCUCUCUGUUCUCCGAGGCCACUGAUAUUUCUCUGUCAGACCACUUGGGAGCAGACAACUAAGCAUUCCAGCAGAUUUCUUAAUUCGUGUUAACCGUUUGCAUGUCCUUUCUUCUCCAACAGAUUGUCUUCAUCGGGGAGGGUCAAGGGGCUUGGAUAAUAACUACCAAGAUAAUAUUAUCUUAGAUAUUAAGUACUCAUCCCUUCUUUGUAUACAGCAGGGACCUUAUCUAAAGGCCUAUUCCCUACCCACUGAGUGCUUCAGGGUGGGUAAAAAGGCCUAUUUUACUUUUCUAAUGUUUAGAGCCUAUGGUUAAAAGGAGGCAUAAAGGAACAAGAUUCUAGAGCCUUCCAUGCAGGAGCCAUAGCUUCUGGAACCAGAUCUUUCUCGUCACCUUCUCCAGUCUGCUCAUUGUCUCACACGACGCAUUUCCCUUUCCUUUUUCAUGUCUCCACUCAUGGGUUAACUUUGGGCUUUUUCUUUUUCUCUGUUUUCAACUUCUCCAUCAAUCAUCUCAUCUUUGAAUUUCUCAAUGCUAUGACCUGAGCAUGUCUCUGCUCCCCACCAACCCCGAAUCCUUCGAGUCUUCAUCUCCAGUGCUCCCAUGAGACAUCCUGGACGCCGUGGCUCAGACCUGACCAUUGCCUAUUUCUCUGAGGGAAGGCAGGAGAGGAGCAGCAGCGCUCAUGGUGUGAAAGUUGAAUGGAAGUUAGAAAGCACUGGAGGGGCUCAGGAUAUAAACAGUCUUCAUGGCAUCCAAUGUCAUCUGUCAGAGUCCCUCUGGUACCUUUAAUACAACCGUCCCACUCCCACGGGUCUGAUCUGUCUCAUUCCAGAGUCUCCUAUUGCAACGGAUGACACUGUCACUGACUAGUCAAGCCAACAGCAUGACAGUCAGCCUUGCCUCUUCACGUGCACCUGUACAACCAACACAUGUACAGUCCGUUCCCUCUCACUGUUGACACAUGUCCCCUAAACUUUACGCCAAGGUCACACGCACACUCCUUUGCCCGGUCCUCUGCAACUGUUUCCAGGAAGUCUCCAGGCCCAAAUCCCUCCAUCCUCAGUCUGCCAGUCAUUGUGAUCUCUCCAAAAGGCAUGUCUGGCUUUGUGACCUAGACCAAUUCCCAUGGUUUUGCUAGGCUGUGUUUUGGUUUCUAAUAGCUUGUGUUCUUUCACAAUUUUAUACAUGGAUACAAUGUAUCUGAUCACUCUCUGUUACCUUGCCUUAUCCUCUUCCUCCAUACAAAUCUCCUUCCCAUAUUCAUGAUGUUUGGGUCCCACUGAGUUUGACACAUACUAUCUGUGUCCAUGGAUUUGAAUAAAAAUCUACUGGAACCUGUUGGGUAUGCAGUAGGGAUGCACCUGAGUACUAUGCCCUCCUCUUUCCAAGACUCCGUUAGCUGUCAACAGUCCACAUUAUGUAGGAGGGCUCUUCUCCUUCCAUGAUCCAUAGCUGACUUCAGGUUAGCAGAUUUGUGCGGGCUCAGUGCCAGGAACUACAGCUGCUGUGCGUCCAUGAUUGAUAUGCCUAUGUCAUGCUUAUGGUCUUUUUUUUUUUUUUCUUUCUUUUUUUUUUUUUUUUGACACAGGGUCUUACUAUAUAGCCAAGCCUGGUUUUAACUCAUAAUCCUCAUGUUUCCUGUCCCAGAAUUCUCCACACCGAGUCAAACUCAUGAUGACUGAGUUAUGCUCACCAUGGACCUCACUCGCUCAUGGGGGCAGAACUGGGCUGCGCUUGUUCACUGGGUGCUUGGUGCCUGGCACCGCCUGUCCUCCAUGGUACCCACUGAUUGGAAACGACUGUGUGGUGACUGAAUCCUUUGGUGGCUUCCGAUAAGCUGGCCUUCACCUUGUGUAUGGUCUUCUGCCUUGAAUUUACUCUAUACCUGUGAUUUGCUUUAACCCUUAAAAGACCACACAUGAGGGCCUGCUACUUUUGGCUUUGCAAUCCUGAAGCUACAGGAAAAAAAAACAAAAACAAAACAAAACAAAAAAAAAAAAAAAAAAAAAAACAGAGCAUCUAAACCUGCUACCCAGUACACUCCUGGCCUUCUAGGGUAGGAGAUGAAAAUUGCCAGACGGACCCUAGACAAGCACACCAGGAAAGCUGUCCAGCUGUGAAAUCAGCCCGGGCUACAGGACUGUGGGCAAGUAAAAUGACUAAUGUUUUAAACACUGUGUUCUACCGUAAUCUGUUACAUGGCAGCAUUUAAAAUAUAUUGUGACAAUUUGAAUGAAAACUGUCCCCUAUCGGCUUGUCUAUGUGAAUAUGUGAUCCCGGAUGGCAAAUGCUGCUUGAGAGAGUGUGAGAACCUUUAGAUAGUGGAGUCUUGCCGGAGGAAGGAUGUCACCGCAGGCAGAAUUUGAGGUUUCUAGCCUUACCCUGCUUCCUACUCCUCUUUCUGUUCCUCCGUUCAGAGAAGAUGUGACCUCACAGCUUCCUGCUACCUUCCUCACGUUACAGAUCCCCCCUUAGAGCUGUAAGCUGGGUAAGCGCUUUCUUCCUCAAGCAAUCUUUGCUCACAAUAUUUUAUUAACAAUAAAAAGAAAACUGAUACACAUAUCAUAUAUAAACACGUUUAAUACACUAACUCCACACAAGGAAAUAGGUUACUACACACAAUGAAUUUAUGUGAUAACAAGCCCAAGUUUUUUGUUUUUUGUUUUUUUCCGGAGCUGGGGACCGAACCCAGGGCCUUGCGCUUGCUAGGCAAGCGCUCUACCACUGAGCUAAAUCCCCAACCGCCCAAGCCCAAGUUUUUAAGUAAUAUUUAUAUGAAAUAGCAGACUGAAAAGAAGACCAUCAGGCUGGCAAGAUGGCUCUGUGGGUAAACAGCUUGUCCCUGAGCCUGACAACCUGAGUUCAUCCCUGGAGUCCAGCUAGGGAGGGGUGGAAGGAUGGAACCUAGUCACUGACUCCCAGGAGUUGUCCUCUGUCCUCCACACACUAUGGUGUGCCUGUAUCCUUCCUCAUCCUCUCCCUCUCCCUCUCUCUCUGAUUCUCUCUCUCUCUCUCUCUCUCUCUCUCUCUCUCUCUCUCUCUCUCUCUGUGUGUGUGUGUGUCUCUCUGAUUCUCUCUCUCUCUCUCUGACUCUGACUCUAUUUCCUCUCUCUCUCUCUCUGACUCUGUCUCCUCUCUGUCUCUCUUUCUCUGACUCUCUUUCUCUCUCUCUCUCUGAAUAAAUGUAUUUUUAAUAAAGAAAAUACCAGUGCAAAUGAAAGGACCUGGAGGUGCUCAUCCCAAAGCCUCUUUAACACACCACAUUUUCUCUCUGCUGUUCUCUUUGGUUUCAAGACAUUUUCCAAUGGAAAGUUUUCUCCUCCCUCUCCCCUCUUUUUUAAGAAGAGAUUCCAGGCCUGACAUUAACAUUCAGGAGUCCGACCAAGAAUGUAAGAGAACACUAGCAAACACACGGAAGCUGCUUAAAUUCCCAGGGCUGAUCCAUCCCUGCUGAAGUACUGGGGAGCCAAGCGGGGGCCGCUAUGGGGACUCUGGGCUUGGCUGGCCCGGACACUAACUGUGUGCUUCUGUGUGAAAAAUCUACCAUCCCCCAACGAAGAGAAUGCCCAGUUCUUACACACACAGCCUUGUGCUGUGUCCAUGGGCUAGUGGGGGGGGGGGGGGAGGCAGUGUUUUUAACCCAGAUAGACAAACAGUUACACAUAUGCAAAGAGACCCCAAGGAGACAGUUAAUGCCCCCCAAGACAGGAUCCAGGACAAGCAAGGUCCUUUCAAAAGCCCAGAUACCAGGCACAUACAUUAACAUGGCCGUCUGCCAUGAGUUCAAAUCCCUCACAUGUAGAAAUUGUGUGGAUGGGUUGUUAAGAUACCUAGGCUGACCAGCUAGCCUCACAGAGCUGAGCAACGGGUUCUGACACUGUCUCAAAAAUACAAUGGAGAAUGAUAGAGUUGUCCAAUGUUCUAGCCUACACAUACACACACACACACACACACACAGAGAGAGAGAGAGAGAGAGAGAGAGAGAGAGACUCUGACACAGAGACUGGAGAGACAGAGAGACAGACACACACAGACACAUACACUCACACAUAGACAUAGACACACACACACAGAAACAGAGAGAGAGGGAAGAUAAACAAACACACAGACACACACAUGCACACAUACACAUAGACACACACAGAGACACAUACACAAAGAGAGAGAGACACACAGAGAGAGACAGAGAGACAGGGAGAGAGACACAGACACACACAGACACAGACACACACAGAGACACACACACAGACAUACACAUGUACAGAGAGAAAGAGACACACAGAGUCAGACACACACACACACACACACACACACACACACACACACACACAGAGCCCUUCCUUUCUUCUCCUGGACAAUGACGCUCUUUGAAUAGAUGCUAUCUCAGUUGCUGACCCAGGGACAUAGAGAAUGGAAGUCUUAGUCUGUAACUUCCUUCAGAGUAACUUCAAGUAAAGAUUCCAAGUAGAGGCAGAGCAGGGAGCAGAGGAAAGGGACCAGGCACCAGUUUUCACCUUUUAGGAAAGAAAAAAGUCUGGCAUAGAAGUGGGGUCUUGCAAUAGAAGAAAUGUUGUUCUCCUGACCUGAUGACCUCUAGGCUGCGUCUUCUCACUUGAUUUUAUUUAGUAGGUAUUUAGUAAGUGUUUGUCGGGUGGGUGGAUGGAUUAUGGAGACUGGGGGGCAGACCUAGGAUAAUCUGACACGGCAGGUAUAUGUCAGUGUGGCGCUGUCUAUCAUCAGAGCAAGGCAGAGCUGGGUCUGAAGCAGGAGUGAGUUACUAAAACAUAAACCAGAUUCCACCACCCCACUGACUGUUCAGCUGGAGUCCAGGCCUCACAUCUGUCUGUGUCCACAUCUCUGACUUGGCCCUGCACCCCUCUCCCACAAGCCCACACUCCCUCUCCUUAACUGGUGUGUGCAUCUUGUUCUCACCUCAGGACCUUUGCUUUGCCUUUGCCUGACAUAUUUUCCCAGAUGUCGUGUGCCUGGUCAUUUGAAUCUCAAGUUUCCUGGACAGCUAUGUGACAAGCAGUGUCCUCCCUGUUCUCUAACCUAGAGGUUCUCAACCUUCCUAAUCCUUCAACCCUUUGACAUAAUUCCUCACGCUGCGAUGACUCCCAACCAUAAAAUAAUUUUGCUACUUUAUAACUGUAAUUUUGUUAAUGUGAAUAGUAAUGUAUCUAGGUUUACGAUAAUCCUAGGGAUGGUCAUUCCUAAAGGGGUCAUGACCCACAGGUUGAGAAACAAAGCUCUAACCAAACAUCUGGUCAUCUUGUCACUGUCUUAAUUUACCUAACUUAUGCGACUUCCUGCUUACACUUCUUUCUCCCUCAUAGAAGGCAAACUCUGUGGAUACAGAGACCAUGCCUUAAGCCUCCAUGGUAAGCGCUCAACUGAUGCCCACUGAACAAAUAGAGCCCACAAACAGAGGCCCUAGACAGGUAACCUUCCACAUCAGUGGCAGAAAGGAAGGCUACCUUCACUCAGCUCUGUCUCCUGGAUGCUUCGGCUGGAAGCCUCAAGAAGCCGGAAGCCAGAACUGGGCCAUCUGUGCUCAGCACUGCAGACUCCAACAACUCUACAGAUACGGACCGCUCAAGGUCUUCUCAUCCGGCUUCUAUAGAGUGAGGGAAUCCAUACGUAUCAAACAAACCACAGCUAAUUCUGUGUGUCUUGAGGUGAGGGCCAGCCACAGAAGGUCCUGAUGCCCUCCAGGGUAGAGGCCCGGGCUCACUGUAAACAUGUGCUCCCUCCGAUGGGAAUAGCAGGAUGCUUGGGCCAGAAGGUUCUGCACCACAGACCCGGAAAUAAAACAAAUAAAGAAUGUGUUCCCUCCUACGAAGCCCUUAGCAUCCACCAGUUGACUGACUUUGGAAGAUUUUUCCAGAAAUGAUUUGGAAGGAAUAGUUUAACUUUUGUUUUUUUGUUUUGUUUUGUUUGUUUUUGUUUUUGUUUUUAUUUUUAGGACAUUAAUUCAAUAGCUUUAUCGAGUGCUGAUAAAGAUGGAUGUCUCUUUGUCUGCUCAGAACUCAUCUCUAGGAAAAAUAUCUCUGCUCAAGAAAAUGACCCUUAACCUUUCCAUCAGUGGGGGGUCGGGCAGUGGUGGAGACAGGGACAGACAGAAGGGGAACGGGAGCCAUUUCUGGGUAAGCAGGGCCUCCAGUAAUUUCUGGGAUUAGGGUCAGAAGCAGAGAGGUGGCACAAGCAAGCAAAGUCUUCGGGGACAAUCACGGUGACCAGGGCAACAGGUGAGGCUUGGUGAGAAAAAUGGCACUCUAGAGAAAGUCCCUUUCCUGGCUUCAGUUUAGGGGCAAGUGUACAGAUCUAUGUGACUGUCACUGCCAGCCCGGUCAGAGGGACAUGUACUAGUAAAGGAGUUGCUUGACAGAAGAGAAAUAAAAUAAUAAAACAAUUCCUCCUCCCAAGCUUCAGCUGAUGGUGGGGACAGUCCCCUUAGCCUCAGGCUUGACCCUCCAGAGACAAGCUCCAAGCUACGGAUUGCCUUAGUUUAUUAACAUUUUACUGUGAAAUGCACCAAGCCUUGUCCUGCCCUGCCCUACCCUAUCCUGCCCCAGCACCGAAAAGCAGAUCUUAGGAGUAAUUCCAUACAGCAAAGCCAGUGGUAGAAAAUGCAGGGAAACGCAUACCAUGUCUCUCUCUUUUUCCAAUCCCUACCACCCAGCUCUUCUGCUCUGGGUGAGCUCAGCAGCACUAGGGCCUUGGCUAAUCCAGAAAUUGCUUCCAUAUGUAGGCACAGGAAAGAAUGUCCUCACUGGCUGCCUGGAAAGGAAACCCUGGCAGCCACUCCUUCCUGCCAGAAAAUUCUCCUCAGGCCAGAGAGGGAGCUACAGGGGGUUGAACUGAGAUCACACACAGCUGCAGCCUCCCCAGUUUGUGGAUGAAGAAACUGAGGCGAUGUUAUACAAAUGGUGGCAGAGCUGGAGGAAAAACUUGAAAAUGCCUCCUUCCUUCUCUCUCCCUCCCUCUCCUCUCCCCCACCAAUCCGUCCCACCCUCCCCACACCCC
Non-coding RNA from Rattus norvegicus (Norway rat), 11087 nucleotides. Lineage: Eukaryota; Metazoa; Chordata; Mammalia; Rodentia; Muridae. The record is from RefSeq and is a predicted model, not a curated record.